UACAGAGGUCUCAAGCGUUGUUCGGAUUCAUUGGGCGUAAAGGGUGCGUAGGCGGCGUGGUAAGUCGGAUGUGAAAUCUCGGAGCUUAACUCCGAAACUGCAUUCGAUACUGCCGUGCUUGAGGACUGGAGAGGAGACUGGAAUUUACGGUGUAGCAGUGAAAUGCGUAGAGAUCGUAAGGAAGACCAGUGGCGAAGGCGGGUCUCUGGACAGUUCCUGACACUGAGGCACGAAGGCCAGGGGAGCAAACGGG
Molecule: ribosomal RNA, 253 nt
Filed under: uncultured bacterium
Lineage: Bacteria
Description: partial 16S ribosomal RNA
Rfam family: Bacterial small subunit ribosomal RNA
Source: RNAcentral